UACGUAGGGGGCAAGCGUUGUCCGGAAUCAUUGGGCGUAAAGAGCGUGUAGGCGGCUUGGCAAGUCUGGUGUGAAAUCUUGCGGCUCAACCGCAAGCGGUCACUGGAAACUGCCUCGCUAGAGUCCGGAAGAGGAGAGCGGAAUUCCUGGUGUAGCGGUGGAAUGCGCAGAUAUCAGGAAGAACACCCCGUGGCGAAGGCGGCUAUCUGGAUAGAA
This 216-nucleotide ribosomal RNA is filed under the name uncultured bacterium. Its description in RNAcentral is "partial 16S ribosomal RNA". It matches the Rfam family "Bacterial small subunit ribosomal RNA", at positions 524 to 738 of the family's 1533-position model. The record is from RNAcentral.